CCGGCGCACGGGUGCGUAACGCGUAUGCAACCUACCUUUAACAGGGGAUAACACUGAGAAAUUGGUACUAAUACCCCAUAAUAUCAUAGAAGGCAUCUUUUAUGGUUGAAAAUUCCGAUGGUUAGAGAUGGGCAUGCGUUGUAUUAGCUAGUUGGUGGGGUAACGGCUCACCAAGGCGAUGAUGCGUAGCCGGCCUGAGAGGGUAAACGGCCACAUUGGGACUGAGACACGGCCCAA
RNAcentral lists this ribosomal RNA (237 nucleotides) under uncultured bacterium. RNAcentral describes it as "partial 16S ribosomal RNA". It matches the Rfam family "Bacterial small subunit ribosomal RNA", at positions 95 to 334 of the family's 1533-position model. The record is from RNAcentral.